UUUCUGUUUCUCCUCUCUUAUAGUAUACAAAUUCUUUGAAAUUGCUGCAUAUUUUUCCUUUGUUGCUUCAGUCAAUUGAUGAGCAUCGAGGAGGAAAUGGAGGUUGCUAGACUGUAAUUUCUAUCCCAAAUGUUCCGGGCUGCAGAGUUCCUUGUCAGAUAUGGAAAUAGAUCCCAGAACAUUAUCUGUUCCCUCAGGACCCUAACCUCCAAAACUUCCCUCCAAAGUGCUUCUGUGUCGACAACUGCUGUUUCAAAAGAUGACUAUUUUGCAG
Molecule: long non-coding RNA, 274 nt
Filed under: Durio zibethinus
Lineage: Eukaryota; Viridiplantae; Streptophyta; Magnoliopsida; Malvales; Malvaceae
Description: long non-coding RNA (DZIB_LNC001433)
Source: RNAcentral